GGUAGAUAAGUUUUUUGGAUAGACCAUCAAUUCAAAAAAAUAUAGAAGAGUGGAAAUAAUAGCAAAAUAAUAUACAAUCAUUGAGUCCUAAAAAUAAAAAUCAAUACUAAAACAGAUAACUGCAUAAACCUAUAGUUGACUUAACUUACAUUACCAAAUAUAACCAACCUUUUAAGAUGCUAUCAAAAAAGGUCCAAUGUCUAUAAAAUCAAAAGUUACUUUUCUUCCCUAGCCCAUAUAUUUCUCUCUCGCGCGCACAUCUCCAAUUCUCAUGUUCAUCUUCUUUCCUCCUCUUUCUCUCUAUCCUCCUUCUUCUCUUCUUUUAUCAACUUUAUAGAAGUUACAUGACCAUUCUCUUCAAUUAUUCAAUUUUCUCCUUCAAUUUUAUGUUGUUUUUUGAUAAAAUGAAUAAUUUCAUGGAAAAUCUUGCUACUUCUUUUCUUAAAGAUCUAGAUGAAUUAUUCCAUGACAUCUCUCGUUGCUUCUUUCCUACUAGAUCUGAACGAAUUGUCCGAUGAUGAAGGGAGAAUCAACAAUCAUGGAUGGAAGAAUAGAGAGGAUCUAGAUUGGAUUUUGUAGAUCUAAGAUCUCUGAUAUAGAUUUGGGUUCUAGAUUGAAAGAUUGUGAUGGAUUUAUGAAAAAGUAAUUCUUUCUUUUUCUGUUACGAUGAUUUUGAUAUAGAAAUGGAGAUUUAAUAAUAGAUAGAACGUGUUUUUUAGUGUAAAUGUGUAUAGUUCAUGUUUAUACUCACUUAUACAAUGUAGAUAUAUUUUUAAACAUUAUAUAUACAUAUGUACAACUUUGGAUAAUUAUGUAUAUUAUUAUAUAAUCAUAUAUAUACAACAUCAUACAACACUAUACAAUAAUAUACAAAUUUAGAAAAAGUGUAUAAAUAUAUAUACCGGAUAUGUAAACAUUAUUUUUACAAUAAGAUGGGCUGAAGUCUCUAUUGUUUGGGACUAAAGCCAAAAGAAAGAGGAUAAGAAUCAAAGAAAAGAAAGCGUGCAACGAUAUAUGGCUAAAGAAUUGUGUAAUGUAAGUUUUUGGGUCAUUAUUUUUGAAAUGCAAGUUUGCUAUGUAUAUAUUUCUGAAAUUAUCCCAUACGAAAAUCUAAGAAUAUGAAAAUAGCAUAAUAAUACUAAUACUUGGGGAAUGGGACCGCAAUACGCCAGAUAAUCGACUAACCUGGGGCACUUUUCAAAAAGUUCACAUCUAGGACUAUUUUAGAUAUUUAGACACUAGUUUUCAAAAAUAGAGAAAAUGAAAACCCUAAUGGGUCCACAAAAAUAAUGGCAACCUAGCACUCAAGUAAAAAAAUAUAUACUUUAGUCUCUUUCCCAUUUCAGCCUCUAUUUUUUAAAAACUACACUUUAG
RNAcentral lists this long non-coding RNA (1374 nucleotides) under Capsicum annuum. RNAcentral's name for it is "long non-coding RNA (CANN_LNC011012)". The record is from RNAcentral. Lineage: Eukaryota; Viridiplantae; Streptophyta; Magnoliopsida; Solanales; Solanaceae.